GAUGAGCGCUGGCGGCGUGCCUAAUACAUGCAAGUCGAGCGAACGGACGAGAAGCUUGCUUCUCUGAUGUUAGCGGCGGACGGGUGAGUAACACGUGGAUAACCUACCUAUAAGACUGGGAUAACUUCGGGAAACCGUAGCUAAUACCGGAUAAUAUUUUGAACCGCAUGGUUCAAAAGUGAAAGACGGUCUUGCUGUCACUUAUAGAUGGAUCCGCGCUGCAUUAGCUAGUUGGUAAGGUAACGGCUUACCAAGGCAACGAUGCAUAGCCGACCUGAGAAGGUGAUCGGCCACACUGGAACUGAGACACGGUCCAGACUCCUACGGGAGGCAGCAGUAGGGAAUCUUCCGCAAUGGGCGAAAGCCUGACGGAGCAACGCCGCGUGAGUGAUGAAGGUCUUCGGAUCGUAAAACUCUGUUAUUAGGGAAGAACAUAUGUGUAAGUAACUGUGCACAUCUUGACGGUACCUAAUCAGAAAGCCACGGCUAACUACGUG
RNAcentral lists this ribosomal RNA (497 nucleotides) under uncultured bacterium. Its description in RNAcentral is "partial 16S ribosomal RNA". It matches the Rfam family "Bacterial small subunit ribosomal RNA", at positions 28 to 507 of the family's 1533-position model. The record is from RNAcentral.